CGGAAUAUAAACAACAAUUGCGGAAGAAAUAAUUAAAAACCAAAAUAGUGAAAUAAAACGGAGUUUAAAGUUUUGCUCGACAUACACAAUAACAACUCUCGAAACUAAUAACAUUUCCCAAAACCCGUAAUCUCAUGAUCACAAGCCUUUGAAUGUCUACAAACAUCUAACUCAAGAAUAUCUAACAAAGAAACGAAAGUACAGAAGGGCUAGUACAAAAAGGGGGAGUAGAAAUGAACUCUUCGGUCUGCGGACGCGACAGAUAUACCUCAGAGUCUCUACAAGUGUCUCGUCUCAAGCGUGAUAAGUCUGAGUGGAAGUACAUGGAUCUGCACAUGAAAAACAUGCGCAGAAAAGGCAUGAGUACACCACAACGGUACUCAGUAAGUGCCAAGCCUAACCUCGAUCGGGUAGUGACGAGGAAGGUCAGGGCCCUAAUGAGGUUAAAUAAAAUAUAAGGUUUAACAGAAUAGAACAAAAACAGUAUAGAUAAGUACAAUAGUAAAAGUAACACAGGAUAUAAAGGACAACAACAACUACCAUAGAGGCCAAGUAAACACAAAAAGAAAUGCAGCUCAGCACAAUGAUAACAACCGAGGAUCUCCCAGGAUACCGUCCUAUAGUCCCAAAUAUAAAUAUCCAGUGGAUCUCCAAGAUACCAUCCCGUAGUCCAACUCAUAAUGCGAAGGGAUCUCCCGGAAUAUCGAUCCGUAGUCACAAAUGUAAACACUCGGUACAGGGGGAAUCUACCGGGUGCAGUCCCAUAGUUCCAAUGUAAAUAUGUAGGGGGAUCUCCCGGAAUACCGUUCCGUAGUCCCAAAGUAAACAUACAGGGGGAUCUCCCGGGAUACCGUCCCGUAGUGCCAAACUAAACACAUAGCAACAACAAGAAGAGUACACAGUUCAAUUCAAGUUCCAUACCAAGGUAAAACAGGUAUUUCUAACCUAGCAUGCUGCACACAAUCCAAAUAAGGCAGCUUGAGCAAGUAAGGCAAUUAAGUCAACUAGACAUGCUUUCAUAAGCUAACAACAAGCUUAAAUUUCAAGUAGUAUAAACAAGAAGAGAAACAUACUAGUAAUUACUUAAUGAAAAUCGGAUUUUCAACAAUUAGCACAAGUACGCACUCUUCACCUAACGUAAAAGGCAUUUUAAUUAUCAAUAAUACCAAAUCCUAAGGAGAAGGUCCCCCUCCACAAGGUUAGACAAGCCACUUACCUCGAACCGGCUCAAAGUCAACCCGAAACCACGUUCUUGCCAUGAGUACUCGACUCCAAAUGGCCCAAAUCUAUUCAAUUCAAUUGCAUAACAUAAAUAACACUUCAAGUAACUGAUUCUACAAAGAAAUUCUAAGCUAAUACGCGAAAUUAAGUCAAAUGACCAAAAUGCUCCUCAGACCCACGUCUCGAAAUCGGGUAAAAUUUACAUUUUCAGAAUUCUCACACUCUCACGAGUUCAGUCAUACCAAAAGUACCAAAAUCGGACCUCAAAUGAUCCCUCAAAUCAUCACUCAAAUGUCUCUAAUUAAUCAAGCCCUAACACCCAAAUUACCACUGAUUUUCCUUAAAUUUUCAUGCUUACAAUGCUAAAAAUCACCUCAAUAACGAGUUUAAGGACCAAAGACCUUACCCCAAUGAAUUCCUCUGAAAAUCUCCCUUGAAAAUGCUCCCCAAGGCUUCUUCCCGUUUGAAAAGAAGUGAAAAAUAACUCAAAUUCGCGAAGACAACUAUUUAUAUGUUCUGCCCAGCUAAUCCGCUUCGGUGGUCAUGGGACCGCACCUGCGGUCCCGUUUUUGCGGAACAAAGGUCGCAUCUACGACAGCUCACUAAACUCAGCUUUCCGCACCUACGACUUCCCAUACGCAGAUGCGGUACCGCUUCUGCGGUGAAGCUCCCACUUAUGCGGCUCCUGCUGGUUCUCCCCUUUCCACUUCUGCGAUGAUACCACCGCUUCUGCGGCUAUGCACCUGCGGGACCCAACCGUAGAUGCGGUUAUGAUAGAAGAUGUUGCUCAAACAACUCCCAAUUCUUCCGACAACCUUCCGAAACCAUCCCGAGGCCCCCGGGACCUCAACUAAAAACAGAAACAAGUCUAAUACCACUAUCCAAACUUAUACCAAUCCUCAAAACACCUAAAACAACAUCAAAACGAUGAAUCAACCACAGAUUCAAGCCUAAGAACUCCAAAACUCUAAAUUUACGCUUUCGAUCAAAAAGUCUAUCAAACCUCGUCUGAAUGAACUGAAAUUUUGCACACACGUCACAUUCAACACUACGGAGCCACUCCAACUUCCGGAAUUCCAUUCCAACCCUCGGAUCAAAAUCUCACCAUCGAAACGGAAACUUCAAAAUUCGACUUUCGGCAUUUCAAACCUAAAUUAGCUACGGACCUCCAAAACACAAUCUGAAUACGCCCCUAAGCCCGAAAUCACCCAACGGAGCUAACGAACCAUCAGAAUUCCAUUUCGAGGCCGUCUUCACGCUAUUGAAACUACGGUCAAAUUUCUAAAACUUAAGCUCUCAUUUAGGGAAUAAGUGUUAUCACACCUCCUUUUUACCUACACCCCGGAAGGGUAUAAGGGAAUUUUUCCAAUUUAAGCGACAAUCGAAACGAGAUUAUUUUAUUUAUUAAAUUCAGAGUCGUCACUUGGGAUAAUUUAUGGUGUCCCAAGUCACCGGUUCAAAUCCCGAAUCGAGGAAUAGAUUGACUAUGUAUUACGGUCCGCGAACUAGAAAUCCGAGUAAGGAAUUCUGCUAACUCGGGAGAAGGUGUUAGGUAUUCCCGAGUUCCGUGGUUCUAGCACGGUCGCUUAACUGUUAUAUUCAGCUUAAUUAUCUGAAUUUUAACGAUUAUGAACCUAUGUGCAAAUUUUAACUUUUAACUGCUUUUAUUUAAUUUUUAAAGAAGAUUGAACGUCGUUUAAAAUGUGUCUUUAGAUCGCGCCACAUGAAAUGCACCCGCAAUCCUAAACACAUUUUAGUCAACGUUUUAAGAUUUGAUUUGGGUCACAUGAAAUGCACACGCGAGUUUAGGAAGGUAAAUUAUUAAAAUAACGUGCCUAAGCAACUACGCGUUUUAACUUUGCGAGGGCCAUGGAAAAUUCGCUAAAUGGCACGCCUCGACUUUAUUAAAGAAAAGGCAUUCAAUUAAGUGAACUACGGAUAUUCAUAUUUAAAACUAAGUUGAAAUGAAGUAUCACAACUACGUCACGGGAACCGUACCCGUAGUCGUGAUGAUUUAGUUACGCGUCUAAAGCGGGCUACGAUGUCGGGUUGGAAUCAGUGCUGGCAGCUCGAAAUUCAUCAAACUACUGGCACCCGAUUAAAUCGACAUUCCACGAGAUCGAGGUCCGCUAGCACAGAAAUGAAAUUCGAACUUUGAAGUAUUAUAUCCACAAAUUUUAUUUCAACUACCUGACUUUAAUAGCCAGUGAAGACAAAACAAAGGAAAAUUAUAUAUGCUCCUUAAUCAAAUAGCCACUCGAUCCUUGUAGAUAAUCGGCUAUAGGCAGUAAAUAAACAAACCACAAAUUAGAGCUAGUUCAUCCUGUUGAAAUCGUUUACAGAUGCAUCAGGCUUAAUUCCUUUACGCUAAUUUCACCAAGCACUCCAAAGAGAUAUCAAACACCACCAGUAAAAUGAAAAAAAAAGUAAAACAAAUCUAAACCAACAAAUCAGAAAUAACAUUAAGACAAGAUAAAACAUGAUAAUUGCCAAUCUUGCAACAUAUUGCUAGUAAUAGAGAAUUUUGUGACAAAACCGCAGAGGCUCAAACACUUCAACGAAUCAGAGAUUCGAAUUUCAUGGUUGACAGAUUUGCGACAAACACCAAAUUUAAAAGACCAUUCGACAGAAUAUAGCAUCACACGAUAAGCAAAACACCAAGUUUCUUACAACUACCAAAUCGGUUCCCGAAAUUCAACCUCUACUAUUCUUAUUAUACUUUCAAUCACACCAAAACAGAGUAAGGGAAGAAACGAACCAGAAAAUGACCACAAAUGGAACGGGGACUCGACGAUCUCGAACGUCUCCAACCCUCAACCCCGAACAACUCACCGGAUGGACUUCAACGAUGGACUCUAUGAAAUUGAAGCUGAAAGUCGAAAUUGAAACCGAAGGGGAGAGGCAGAAGCUUCUCUGCUUAUUUUUGUUGGAUUAAAAAUCAGGUCGUCCCCCUCUCACUCUAUUUUCGCUUCUGUUGGUGUGUGUGUGAGAGAGCAGUGAGGAGCAGCGACUGGGGAAGAUUGGAGGAGUUCUGGCAGGCGGGGUCUCUUUUUCCGGCGAUUCUCGAGAGGUUCAGAAGGUGGGUCGCUGGUUUCAGGGGUCUUUAGUUUGGGUCGAUGGCUGAUGGCAGUAGUUCUAGGGAUGCUGGUCGUUUGUGAUUAGGAAGGAGCCAUGGAAUUUUGCCACCUCUUCUCUGAAGGAGAAGAUCAAGUCGAUGGGGCUCUCUCUAUUUUUGUUCAGACGCGA
Molecule: long non-coding RNA, 4467 nt
Filed under: Nicotiana tabacum (common tobacco)
Lineage: Eukaryota; Viridiplantae; Streptophyta; Magnoliopsida; Solanales; Solanaceae
Description: long non-coding RNA (NTAB_LNC007627)
Source: RNAcentral